UAGGGAAUCUUCGGCAAUGGGGGCAACCCUGACCGAGCAACGCCGCGUGAGUGAAGAAGGUUUUCGGAUCGUAAAGCUCUGUUGUAAGAGAAGAACGUGUGUGAGAGUGGAAAGUUCACACAGUGACGGUAACUUACCAGAAAGGGACGGCUAACUACGUGCCAGCAGCCGCGGUAAUACGUAGGUCCCGAGCGUUGUCCGGAUUUAUUGGGCGUAAAGCGAGCGCAGGCGGUUUAAUAAGUCUGAAGUUAAAGGCAGUGGCUUAACAAUUGUUCGAUUUGGAAACUGUUAAACUUGAGUGCAGAAGGGGAGAGUGGAAUUCCAUGUGUAGCGGUGAAAUGCGUAGAUAUAUGGAGGAACACCGGUGGCGAAAGCGGCUCUCUGGUCUGUAACUGACGCUGAGGCUCGAAAGCGUGGGGAGCAAACAGG
This 429-nucleotide ribosomal RNA is filed under the name bacterium. RNAcentral's name for it is "partial 16S ribosomal RNA". It matches the Rfam family "Bacterial small subunit ribosomal RNA", at positions 355 to 776 of the family's 1533-position model. The record is from RNAcentral.